RNAcentral lists this microRNA (21 nucleotides) under Gossypium raimondii (Peruvian cotton). RNAcentral describes it as "gra-miR8759". The record is from miRBase by way of RNAcentral. Lineage: Eukaryota; Viridiplantae; Streptophyta; Magnoliopsida; Malvales; Malvaceae.
UGGUGGAAGUAUUGUGCCCGG